RNAcentral lists this ribosomal RNA (392 nucleotides) under uncultured bacterium. RNAcentral describes it as "partial 16S ribosomal RNA". It matches the Rfam family "Bacterial small subunit ribosomal RNA", at positions 523 to 918 of the family's 1533-position model. The record is from RNAcentral.
AUACGGAGGAUCCGAGCGUUAUCCGGAUUUAUUGGGUUUAAAGGGUGCGCAGGCGGCCAUUUAAGUCAGCGGUUAAAUCGUGGGGCUCAACCCCAUUCUGCCGUUGAUACUGGGUGGCUUGAUUGCGGUCGAGGUUGGCGGAAUUCGUUGUGUAGCGGUGAAAUGCAUAGAUAUGACGAAGAACGCCGAUUGCGUAGGCAGCUGACCAGACCGCAAAUGACGCUCAUGCACGAAAGUGCGGGGAUCGAACAGGAUUAGAUACCCUGGUAGUCCGCACAGUAAACGAUGAAUACUUGUUUUCGGCGAUAUAAUGUCGGAGGCAAAGCGAAAGCGAUAAGUAUUCCACCUGGGGAGUACGCCGGCAACGGUGAAACUCAAAGGAAUUGACGGGG